GCUGCUUUCCACCCCCCAACUCCAGUAUUAUUGGAUGAGUUGAUUGAAAGAUACCCCUUAUCCUUCUUCAGACAAGCUCUCUUUCCCUGGUGUGGUUGCUGCUCUGAGUUAAGGGAACGGGAGAUGAUACUGACUAGAAAUUCAUCAGCCCCGGUGUUUACUACGUCCUAACCUCCGCCCCCACCCCAAGGCCACGACCGCUGUCUGCUAACCUGACGCCAAGGUUGGGCUAUGUGCUAUACAGAAGAAAUAAAGGGGGCAGUGGUUAGGAGCGGCCUUUUGGAAGAGGUACCAUUUGAGAAGAGUCUUCACGGAUGUAGAGGAGGGAGCCUUGUUGAUACGUGGAGACGUGCGACCCAGACAGAGGGAGCAGCCAGUGCAAAGGCCCUGAGCGCACCUUCCUGCGACUGCAGCGGCUGGAGGGCUCAAAACUACGUUUCCCAGAAUGCCUUGUGGCUGCGCAUGUGGCCGGAGGUUAGGUUCCACCAAUCAGGUGCCUCCGCGGGAAGCUUGAAUUUCUUACCGAAGUAAGCUGGGCGAGAGGCAGCCCGAAGGCCAGUGCAGAUCCCGGCGAGAGGCUGCGGCGGUGGAGCCGGCUGGCGGCUUCCUGAUCGCGCAGGAGGAGCAGCGGUUCCUGGACGGCCCUUUCUGAGCGCUGGAUUUGAGAAUGCCCUGGAGGCUCAGCCUAGAUUCUGUUUCUUCUGAGAGGCUCUGUGUCCCUUAAU
This 725-nucleotide long non-coding RNA is filed under the name Homo sapiens (human). RNAcentral describes it as "HSALNT0260762". The record is from RNAcentral. Lineage: Eukaryota; Metazoa; Chordata; Mammalia; Primates; Hominidae.